CUUAGAAAUAAUUUUUGAAAUUCAAGGUUCUAAUGCCCAAUUAUCACGCUUCCACUCCUUCAGUUUUGAGCCAUGAAAGAGACAGUUGUACCUGGUUGUAAAAAGUUGCUUUAAUUACAAGAAGAUAAUUUAAGCAAAAGUUUCAUCAAGUGGUAGCAUCAGAAGUCCUCACAUAAAAUGCAACUGAGUGCAUAUCAUGCCAAAUUCUACAAAAUUUUACCUCAUGGCAGUGAUAGUUUGGACCAGGAAGGUGCGUUGAAUAGAAUGUAACUAUCCGGAGAAUCUGGCAAGCCUAAAAAGGGAAAGGGAAAGGGAAAGGGAAAAAAAAAUACUAAAACCAAUUGUAAGAUAAAGAUACUAGAACAGCAAAAAAUGUUUCUCCCAUCAUUCCAGUCAGUGGGCCUAGAUGAUAUGGGGUUAAAAGGCCAUAGUCAUGACUAAACAAGCCAUCUUCUUGCUAUAGGUAUAAAAUGUGUAGCAUUUUAUGUUCUCGACUAUUAUCAUGAGUAGAGUUACAGUA
This 520-nucleotide unclassified non-coding RNA is filed under the name Hevea brasiliensis (rubber tree). The record is from RNAcentral. Lineage: Eukaryota; Viridiplantae; Streptophyta; Magnoliopsida; Malpighiales; Euphorbiaceae.